AUGGCUGCCACCAUGAAGCUGACAAUCACCUUCCUCCUCCUCGUCUCCGGGCUGGUGGUGUUCGGCGACGCCAAGAAGGCGCCGUGCGCCGUGGUGUGCGUCCAGGGAGGGCACAUCACCUGCGACAACUACCCCGGGCAGAAGCUCGACGGGUGCGACUGCCAGUGCGCGCCCAAGGACGGCAAGGGCUGCGUGCUCCACCUCAACAGCGGCUCCACCAACCAGUGCACCACCACGCCGGAGUACUGA
This 249-nucleotide ribosomal RNA is filed under the name Triticum aestivum (bread wheat). Its description in RNAcentral is "partial small subunit ribosomal RNA". The record is from RNAcentral. Lineage: Eukaryota; Viridiplantae; Streptophyta; Magnoliopsida; Poales; Poaceae.